GGAUAUAAGGGCGAUCUGUUUGGGACUUCUGUCACUCCAUUGAUCGCCAGUGUUGAUUCAGCUGAUCUGGCUGCUUAGGUGGGUGUCCCCUUCCUCCCUCACCACUCCAUGUGCAUCCUUCCUGAAGCUGCAUGCUCAAAGAGGACGACCACCCCCAAUAGAGGAGGACUGGUCUUCAGUCAAGGAUAUAUGAGUAGCUGCACUCCCCUGCUUGUGCCUCCAAAGAAGCUCUCAAGAUUAAGCCAAUGGAUAUUCCUGCAGAAGAUAAAGUUGGAGAGCAAAGCUAUGAUUUUAUACCCUUUU
Molecule: small nuclear RNA, 303 nt
Filed under: Bos mutus (wild yak)
Lineage: Eukaryota; Metazoa; Chordata; Mammalia; Artiodactyla; Bovidae
Description: 7SK RNA (ENSBMUG00000018615.1)
Rfam family: 7SK RNA
About the family: 7SK was discovered as an abundant small nuclear RNA in the mid-70s but a possible function has only recently been suggested. Two independent studies have found that 7SK RNA binds the CDK9/cyclin T complex (known as elongation factor P-TEFb).
Source: RNAcentral